This 776-nucleotide ribosomal RNA is filed under the name uncultured Neocallimastigales. Its description in RNAcentral is "partial large subunit ribosomal RNA". It matches the Rfam family "Eukaryotic large subunit ribosomal RNA", at positions 26 to 644 of the family's 3401-position model. Lineage: Eukaryota; Fungi; Neocallimastigomycota; Neocallimastigomycetes; Neocallimastigales. The record is from RNAcentral.
CGUCUAUAUACGUAUAGCAUAUCAAUAAGCGGAGGAAAAGAAACUAACUAGGAUUCCCUUAGUAACGGCGAGUGAAGCGGGAAGAGCUCAAAUUUGAAAUCUUCAAGGUUCUACCUUGACGAAUUGUAGUUUAAAGAAGUGUUUUCUGUUAGGAUGAGUAGCAAAAGUUCUUGGAAUAGGACAUCAUAGAGGGUGAGAAUCCCGUAUUUGUUACAUUACAUUCUAGCGUUGUGAUACAUCUUUCAAAGAGUCGGAUUGUUUGGGAAUGCAGUCCAAAAUGGGUGGUAAAUUUCAUCUAAAGCUAAAUAUUGGCGAGAGACCGAUAGCGAACAAGUACCGUGAGGGAAAGAUGAAAAGAACUUUGAAAAGAGAGUUAAACAGUACGUGAAAUUGUCAAAAGGGAAGCGUUUGACACCAGUGUUGUUUUCUCGAAAAUCAAUUACAAAUGGCUGGAUUUUGUGUUGUAUUGACCUUAUCAGCUUUCUGCACUUUUUCUAGUCUUUCUUAAUGCACUUUUCGUUUAACAAGUCAACAUCAAUUUCUUUUGUUGUAAAAGGGUAUGAGGAAGGUGGCUUUCUUUUCGGAGAAAGUGUUUAUAGCCUUGUGCCUCUGCAAUCGGAGAGAUUGAGGUCUGCAGCGUAGAUCCUUCGGGGUUAGAUACAUUUGUGCUAAGUUAUAGCUUUUCAUAGACAACUUGUUGACUAUGUUUAGUCUUGUAGCUUACUCGCUUAUGCUAUUUUACCUACGCUUAGGAUGUUGACUGAUAUGUAGUCGUA